CGCCCUUUACCUUUCUUCUUCUUCUCUUCCUCAUCAUCCUCGCUGGCCCCCAAGAGCGUAAAGAUGAUUCCUGUCUGGGAGUUGAUCCCCACGGCAGUCACUAGCAUCCGGCCAGAACCUUCCAUCACGUGAGUCCCUGCACGGCAAAGGAGAGGAUGGGAAGGAGUGUUGUUCUUUAAAACCUACUGUGAUGUGGUGUCAAACACAAACUUAAAAAUGAUGCCUGGCCCAUGGAUACUGAUACACCUAUCAGAGAGUAAGAAAAGGUCAAGACCUGGAUCCAUUUAAAACAGACCAAUCACACUGAAGCCACAGGCAGCUGGAUGAGCUGGCCGUUCCGGAUGAUGGAGAACUUCUGCUCCUGUUCAAUACGGCUCUGCAGGCCCGGAACUGCUUCUCUUUGCUCCAGUCAUUGAAGGCAGUCACCAAUACCACGAUGAUCACUGAGAACAGGAUGGCAGCCCCCCUCGAUCCAGCCAGCUUCUGCCUCAUUUUCGUCUUCUGGGGGGGCCGAUAGAAGGACAGGACGAGGGAGAUGAUGGCUGCGAUCUCCAGGAUGAUGAGCGUGACAUCUUGAAGGGCUUCCCACACUAACUCUAAGAAGGUCUUGGGCUUUUUUGGGGGGAUCAAGUUCUGUCCAAACUUGAGUCACGUUUCUCCAGGUCAGCAGGGUUCCCAGAAAGACCUGCAAAGGAGAGGGGAAUGAAUGAUGGAUGGGAAGAAGAGGGGGAAUGAUAACAGAAGGCAGUUAAAAGCCCUCUUGUGAAAAAGCAAAAGACACCUUUAAAAAGACCCUUUGCUGCCUGACCUGCCCAACUGUGA
Molecule: long non-coding RNA, 822 nt
Filed under: Heterocephalus glaber (naked mole-rat)
Lineage: Eukaryota; Metazoa; Chordata; Mammalia; Rodentia; Bathyergidae
Description: lncRNA (ENSHGLG00100049294.1)
Source: RNAcentral